Molecule: transfer RNA, 101 nt
Filed under: Actinomadura sp. NBRC 104425
Lineage: Bacteria; Bacillati; Actinomycetota; Actinomycetes; Streptosporangiales; Thermomonosporaceae
Description: tRNA-Val
Source: RNAcentral
AGCGGUUCCGCGCCCUGGUGAACGGGGCCGCGCGGGCCGACGACCGCCGGGCCGCCGAACUGCUGGAGGAGGCGCUGCGGAUCGCUUCUGCGGAGCCGAUG